Long non-coding RNA from Penaeus monodon (black tiger shrimp), 1054 nucleotides. RefSeq lists it as uncharacterized. NCBI's taxonomy places the organism in Eukaryota, Metazoa, Arthropoda, Malacostraca, Decapoda, Penaeidae. The record is from RefSeq and is a predicted model, not a curated record. The transcript is spliced from 2 exons.
AUUGGAGCGGUACCUUGACCCAGCAUAUGGAGAGUCUUUUGAAUUAUCUGAUAAUGUGAAGCUGGACCUAGUGCUGACCCGGGAAGAGCAGCUCCAAACCAGCAUCAGCAGCUCAAUACGCUACACUCACUCAAGCAUGUUCUUGACUCGCAGCACAUUAGUGAUACACCCAACCUGAGUGACGAACUUAUCCAGAUAGCUAACAAACACAGCCAGGAUGAAGAAGCUGCCACUGCACAAAGCAUGCAGAUUAAGAAUAUGCUGGACCAGUAUAAUGCUAUUGUAUCCUUUAAUAUGAAGAAAGCCUUGCUUGAUGUUUGUUUGUAGCAGUCAUUUCACAUCUGUGACUUCAAGCUACCAUCAUUUAUUUUCAUGUAAGCAACUGAGUAUACGAUGUCUCACGGGUCUACAGUUUAUUUAGAUUUUAUUUAUUUGAUUUUCAUUAUUAUUAUUAUUAUCAUUAUCAUUAUUAUUAUUGUUAUUAUUAUUGUUAUUAUUAUUUUUAUACAAGAUAUAGAUAAGCUUUUGAGUUGAUAGAUUUUCUAUUUUUCCAUUCCCUUUUCAUAGGGAAGGAGAAAAAAAAAAGUUGAUGAUUUUUUUUUUCUCUCUCUUUUAUCACCACCAAUUGGCUAGUAUUAUCAUUUAAGACUAAUGUAGAAAAAGAAUACUAUAACUGUCUUCUGCAAAGUACUCCUAAGUUUCAACCCAUUUUAGCUCCAGUUUAAGAUAAAUCUUUGACACCAAAAGAAAGUGGUCUUUUUAUGUGUUUUAUUUUACUGUGACGACAAUUACAAUUACAGUUUGUAAUAUGUAUUUGAAGAAAGGAAAAGCCUGUUUUCUAUACUGUUAGUAUAUAAUAUAUAGUUUGUAAUUUGAACAUUUGUGUGCAAGUAAGCCAAAAGUCUUUUUGUAUGUGUGUGUACAAGCAAAUUUGUGGGAAACACCCAUGUAAGAGAUAGAUUUUGACGAUUGUCAUCUAAUAGUGUUCAACAGGUAUGGAUAUUUUUGUAUAAUUAUUUAUAAUGGAUAAAGAUAUUUCAACACUUUUGAAAUA